GCUCCGCGCCGCGGGCUUAGCACGUGGACGCGGCGUGGAAUCUCCGUGCAGGCCGGGCGGCUGCUGGUUUUCCUCUUCACCGCCGGGGUUUUUCCGAGGUCUGGGAGCGGCCGUGCUUUGUAAGUGAGCCAGAGGAGCUAGAUCGGCAGUCGGCUGGCCAACCUGGCCGCGUGGGCGCGUCGCAAAAAAGGAACGCGAGACAGGGAGGCGUUGGAAGAAAGUCCUGAGCGAGGGAGGUGGCCCAACAGCAUGCACUGUUUUUAUCUUUGGGGAGUAAAGAGUUCUCGGCUGAAAGACGGACCAAACCUGCUGACUGGGUUCUGUGUCCUGUGUAACAGCAGGCAAACAGCGGUGCAGCUGCUGUGAGAACAUGCCUCCUGAGGGUCAAGGGCCACAUUGUACCCCAAAACCUCAGCUAUCACUUGGAUGCACCUGCCUCCCCCGCACGACCUGGGACAUUGGCUAUCCUCUGACUCUUCUUAAAAAGGGCCUGGGAUUGACUUGUACAGAGUGACCCAGCUAGUGAAGGGGCAGGAAACCCUGUCAUGAAGAGCAGUUAAAGAACUGGGGGUGUUUAGCUCUCAUGUGACAAGCCCUGGGGUCCUGUGAGCCACUCUGAAACUAUUUGGAAGACUGUUCUUCAAACAAACUUUAGGAUGAUGGUCUGCUGCCUUAGGAGCCAGGAUAGAAAUGUUUACAGGAGGUGGAUUUCAGGUCAAUUACAGAGAAGGGGCAGGAUUUAUGCCAUUCUCACCUGCAACCAGGUACAGCUAGGUGUUUGAGUAUAUCAGUAAGAAAAUGUGGAGCUCAUUCAAAUUCUAGUUUGCCCAGUGCCAAAGCCCUUUUCUUUUUAUGAAGCCUUUCUUUUAACAAUGGGUUAUUUCAGGAGUGAUGAUAGUGCCUGAAGAUUUGUGCAUUGAUUGAGCACAUUGGACUGGAGGAUUCAUCCAGCCGUGUUUAGCCGUGUCACUGAUUCUCUACCUCAGAUGAAGACAGAGGUUGGCUGGGCCAGAUGAAGAUGCCAGGGCUACCUGAGAUGGAGGAGGUUUCCAGUCUCACCAGCAGAGCAUGGCUUCCACAUGGCUGCAACAUCCCAGUAGCCUUUCUCUGGAGGUAUGUGAGUUUGAUGUUCUCCUUAGAAGGCAUCCUCCAGAACAACUCAGUACUGCAGCAUGGUCUCACCACAGGUGACUACAGACCACCUAUUCUCUAAUUUGAACACUACGCUGUGGGUAGACUUGCCAACAUCUAGUCAGCAUUGUUUCCCAAAACCUGAAUUAAAAACUGUUUUUGGC
This is a non-coding RNA of Manis javanica (Malayan pangolin), 1295 nucleotides long. NCBI's taxonomy places the organism in Eukaryota, Metazoa, Chordata, Mammalia, Pholidota, Manidae. The record is from RefSeq and is a predicted model, not a curated record.